RNAcentral lists this ribosomal RNA (253 nucleotides) under uncultured bacterium. Its description in RNAcentral is "partial 16S ribosomal RNA". It matches the Rfam family "Bacterial small subunit ribosomal RNA", at positions 524 to 776 of the family's 1533-position model. The record is from RNAcentral.
UACGAAGGUGGCAAGCGUUGUUCGGAUUUACUGGGCGUACAGGGAGCGUAGGCGGUUGGGUAAGCCCUUCGUGAAAUCUCCGGGCCUAACCCGGAAAGUGCGGAGGGGACUGCUCGGCUAGAGGAUGGGAGAGGAGCGCGGAAUUCCCGGUGUAGCGGUGAAAUGCGUAGAGAUCGGGAGGAAGGCCGGUGGCGAAGGCGGCGCUCUGGAACAUUUCUGACGCUGAGGCUCGAAAGCGUGGGGAGCAAACAGG